GUGUACUUAGCUCAAUGGUUAGAGCAUCACUCAUGAAUGCUGAGUAUGUGAGUUUGACUCUCCCAGUACACG
Molecule: transfer RNA, 72 nt
Filed under: Puccinia triticina
Lineage: Eukaryota; Fungi; Basidiomycota; Pucciniomycetes; Pucciniales; Pucciniaceae
Also listed under: 1 other name
Description: tRNA-Ser
Rfam family: tRNA
About the family: Transfer RNA (tRNA) molecules are approximately 80 nucleotides in length. Their secondary structure includes four short double-helical elements and three loops (D, anti-codon, and T loops). Further hydrogen bonds mediate the characteristic L-shaped molecular structure. tRNAs have two regions of fundamental functional importance: the anti-codon, which is responsible for specific mRNA codon recognition, and the 3' end, to which the tRNAs corresponding amino acid is attached (by aminoacyl-tRNA synthetases). tRNAs cope with the degeneracy of the genetic code in two manners: having more than one tRNA (with a specific anti-codon) for a particular amino acid; and 'wobble' base-pairing, i.e. permitting non-standard base-pairing at the 3rd anti-codon position.
Source: RNAcentral